This 253-nucleotide ribosomal RNA is filed under the name uncultured bacterium. Its description in RNAcentral is "partial 16S ribosomal RNA". It matches the Rfam family "Bacterial small subunit ribosomal RNA", at positions 524 to 776 of the family's 1533-position model. The record is from RNAcentral.
UACGUAGGGUGCAAGCGUUAAUCGGAAUUACUGGGCGUAAAGUGUGCGCAGGCGGCCGCGCAAGUCGAGUGUGAAAGCCCCGAGCUUAACUUGGGAACUGCGCUCGAAACUACGUGGCUGGAGUGUGGCAGAGGAAGGUGGAAUUCCAGGUGUAGCGGUGAAAUGCGUAGAGAUCUGGAGGAACACCGAUGGCGAAGGCAGCCUUCUGGGCCAACACUGACGCUCAUGCACGAAAGCGUGGGGAGCAAACAGG